This 496-nucleotide ribosomal RNA is filed under the name uncultured bacterium. Its description in RNAcentral is "partial 16S ribosomal RNA". It matches the Rfam family "Bacterial small subunit ribosomal RNA", at positions 29 to 507 of the family's 1533-position model. The record is from RNAcentral.
AUGAACGCUGGCGGCGUGCCUCAUACCUGCAAGUCGCGCGAACGGACGAGAAGCUUGCUUUUCUGAUGUUAGCGGCGGACGGGUGAGUAACACGUGGAUAACCUACCUAUAAGACUGGGAUAACUUCGGGAAACCGGAGCUAAUACCGGAUAAUAUUUUGAACCGCAUGGUUCAAAAGUGAAAGACGGUCUUGCUGUCACUUAUAGAUGGAUCCGCGCUGCAUUAGCUAGUUGGUAAGGUAACGGCUUACCAAGGCAACGAUGCAUAGCCGACCUGAGAGGGUGAUCGGCCACACUGGAACUGAGACACGGUCCAGACUCCUACGGGAGGCAGCAGUAGGGAAUCUUCCGCAAUGGGCGAAAGCCUGACGGAGCAACGCCGCGUGAGUGAUGAAGGUCUUCGGAUCGUAAAACUCUGUUAUUAGGGAAGAACAUAUGUGUAAGUAACUGUGCACAUUUUGACGGUACCUAAUCAGAAAGCCACGGCUAACUACGUG